Molecule: long non-coding RNA, 436 nt
Filed under: Ananas comosus (pineapple)
Lineage: Eukaryota; Viridiplantae; Streptophyta; Magnoliopsida; Poales; Bromeliaceae
Description: long non-coding RNA (ACOM_LNC012475)
Source: RNAcentral
UUGUCCCCGUUACAUGCUUCCGCGAUUCGGACACACACAAACACCUCCGAGAUCUCGGAUCCACGACGACGACGACGACGACGACGACGACACGCUCCGAUUCUUCCCCCUCCACCUUUGAUACGAACCUGCGCCGUCGCCAAAAUCUCGCGCGAUAAUCCCCCUCGCGAUUCGCUCAGGUUCGAUCGCUCUCUAUCUCCAUCUCCAUCUCCAUCUCAUUCGAUUGAGUGAGAAGUUGGUUUAAACUCAAUAUUAAAAAUUAAUUUAAAUUUAAAAUUUAUUUAAAAAAUUUAAAAACAUAAUACAUCAAAAAAAAAAUCGUUAACUUCUCUCCCCGCGCCUGCCGCCGCUCGCUCUCCACCUGCGCGCCGGCCCUCCCCUCGGCAGCGGACAUCUCCGUGGCCGCUGCUGCCGCCGCUGCGCGCGGACAUCUCCG